UUAUUUUUUCAAAUGUAUGAUUUAGCUAUUGAGCUUAAAUAUUCGUGAAAUAUAAACUGUUUAUCCAAUAAAAUAUUUUUGUGCACUCUACCAUGUUUAAGGCUCGUACAGUUAAUCAAUUGAGGUUCUCUUAUGACCUAACACGUUGUUUGAGAAUUGUGUACACUUGUUAGCUGACUCGGUGGGUUGAUCUCCAUCGGGCACUAACCAGAGGCGUUAUAAGGGUGCUCGACGGGAUGUGUUCCGGAGCAUGGUAAUGAUAGGCCUGUCUGGAUUAAUUUCCGAGGUUUAUUAUACUUGGCUGGGUUACGCCCUCAGUUCAAGUCAGCGGGAGACAGAGAUCCGUCGGUGGCUAGAGGUCCGGGAUCACAGCGAGUAACAGAAUGGAGUGUGCAAACGCGCGAAAAAUAAUUAAGUUAAUGGCUGGUGAUGACGGGGCAGAGCUGAGGCUAGGGUUCAACUCCGUAUUUUGUCUUCCGCUAUUGCACUAGCAUUUAUUUGUCUUUUGUUUCUCCAACUUAAGACUUUUAUGUUAAAUUCUGAAUUAUGUUUUUAUCGAGCUUAAACUCUCAACUUCUAGCUCUAUGUUAUUUAACGUUGGUUAUCGGAAGCAUGAAACCGAACUUGUGAUCCUAAGGCUUUGAAUGUUGUUGAUUGAUUAGUAUCACUUGAUUUC
Molecule: long non-coding RNA, 676 nt
Organism: Salvia miltiorrhiza (redroot sage)
Lineage: Eukaryota; Viridiplantae; Streptophyta; Magnoliopsida; Lamiales; Lamiaceae
Exons: 2
Source: RefSeq, a predicted model, not a curated record